RNAcentral lists this transfer RNA (75 nucleotides) under Candidatus Babelota bacterium. RNAcentral describes it as "tRNA-Cys". It matches the Rfam family "tRNA". From Rfam's summary of the family: Transfer RNA (tRNA) molecules are approximately 80 nucleotides in length. The record is from RNAcentral.
GGCGGCAUAGCCAAGCGGUAAGGCACGGGACUGCAAAUCCCUGAUUCCCCGGUUCGAAUCCGGGUGCCGCCUCCA